ACGACCCCCGUGUCUGACGUCAGAAGCAGGGGUACUGGUUUAGCUCCCAAGCAGGGACCACGCAGCCUCAACUUGGGAGUUAAAUGGCUGUUGCAUUCGCGGCACAGCCAGGAGCAGAUCUUCCCUGCCGCACGGCCCCUUCAGGGGUUAAAUGGCCAGCGCUGCGUUUGCGGCAUGGUCAGGGGCAGCUUUUCCCUGCCUUAAAUGCAGCGCCGGCCUAACUCUAGCUCCCGAAGGGGCCACGCAGCCUUCGGGAGUUAAAAGGUUGGUGCUGCCUUCACUAAGGCAGGGAAGAGCCGCCCCUGGCUGCGCUGUGAACGCAGCACCAGCCUUAGUUUAGCUCCCAAAGGUGCCGCGUGGCCCCUUCAGGAGUUGGGCUCCGUUCGGGAGCCAGACCACACACCCCGCGAUUGACAUCAGACACGGGGAGAGGGAUGAGCGGGGCUGCCGCCGCCACACACGGGGCGCUGGCGGUCAGGCUUCACACCUGGGAGUAUGAAUUGAGCAUGUGGACAUCUAAUGAGGCCCCAUUAUAUAUCUUGCCAAUCUGAAGAUAUGGACGAGAUCCUUGGAGCAAUAAGGCCCUAUCAUUAGCUCAUGUGACCUUUGCCUGUCCUAGCUGAUAAGGAAAACCAAUUGGCUGAGUUGGGAAGGUAUUAAAUGCCUUCUUGAGGGAGGGAGCAAUCCCUUUGGCCUUGAAGAACAGAGCCAUGAUGGGGCUGCUCCUAAAGGAACCAUCACUUGACUCAGGAGACUUCAGUUUCCCACAACUAAGCAAGCUGUUGGUAUGUGUGGUGGCCUCACAGCUUCAGGAGCUCUUGGAAAAUACUAUCUUGAGCCCUUUCAAUCUUGCUUCUGGUGGGUGGAAAUCACCUCAGUCCAUCCUAGGAGAUCAUCAUAUUUGUUACAAGAAGGCAAGUAAACUAUUCAACUUUUUAAAAUAGAAACAAUGAGAGGAGAGGGAAGUUACAGCAAAAGAGUUGGCAGUCUCCUAUUAAAGCAUAAAUACCUGAUUUCCUGCUGCUGUUGAAAGUUCUGAUGUUUUGAGAUGGCAGCUUUCCACUGAGCAAGUGCAAUUAAUUUGUAACAAAACAAAAAAAACACUGAAAAGGAUCUAAUUUGAAACAGGUUCCCCUACCUCAUGCAAGCUAAUGAAAAAUGCAAUAACUAUUGACCAAAAAGAGAGGAGUAUCCACCACACUGUAAAGUGUUAGAAAUGUUGUUUAAAUGCAUAACCAAAAC
Long non-coding RNA from Hemicordylus capensis (graceful crag lizard), 1242 nucleotides. RefSeq lists it as uncharacterized. The record is from RefSeq and is a predicted model, not a curated record. The transcript is spliced from 4 exons. Lineage: Eukaryota; Metazoa; Chordata; Lepidosauria; Squamata; Cordylidae.